CCACCCUUCAUGACUUAUACGUUCAUUCUACACGGCAAAUGCGACAAUAUAUACCUUGCGGACAACAAAACGGCUUGUGACAUGCAAAGUCGACGAGGUUGCUAAUCAAACUGACAGUUCCGUUUUCUUCAAGAGAAGUUACUGCAAAGGGGAGAAAUGGGUUAACAAGACCUUGGAAGGAACUUUUAUAUCAGUGAGCGUUUUCGCUAGAGGAACCUUUGACGCAAUGAUCGUCCACCCACCAGGCAUCAUGGGGAAACGCAUCGAGCAGUUACUCUAUGCCGACCCAGGAUUUCACUGUGGAGUCUUUAAAAUAUUCCUCAACCUUAUAUCCACAUACAGUCACCCUCGUGCAAUCUACGAGUUGCGCGUGCGCGAUUCAUACGAUAGGCCGUUCAAUGCAAAAUGUAUUUCGUUAUUCAGGAAGAAAGCUGAAAACAACUAUGUAGACGCAUAUGCGCCCACCUGCACUACAAGUAAAGUUGUCUGUAAAUGAGAGACAGAGGUCCCGUUGGUAAUGGCGACCACAUCUGAAGUGAUAAAUGGGUCUUUUUGAAUUAACAAAACUUUAACAUAAGGAAGCGCACUUGCAGCUU
This 596-nucleotide unclassified non-coding RNA is filed under the name Rhipicephalus microplus (southern cattle tick). RNAcentral describes it as "uncharacterized LOC119167336, transcript variant X1". Lineage: Eukaryota; Metazoa; Arthropoda; Arachnida; Ixodida; Ixodidae. The record is from RNAcentral.